CCUACGGGAGGCAGCAGUGAGGAAUAUUGGUCAAUGGUCGCGAGCCUGAACCAGCCAAGUAGCGUGAAGGAUGACUGCCCUACGGGUUGUAAACUUCUUUUAUAAAGGAAUAAAGUGAGGCACGCGUCCUUUUUUGUAUGUACCUUAUGAAAAAGCAUCGGCUAACUCCGUGCCAGCAGCCGCGGUAAUACGGAGGGUCCGAGCGUUAUCCGGGUUUAUUGGGUGUAAAGGGAGGGAAGAUGGGUUGUUAAGUCAGUUGUGAAAGUUUGCGGUUCAACCGUAAAAUUGCAGUUGAUACUGGCAGUCUUGAGUACAGGAGAGGUAGGCGGAAUUCGUGGUGUAGCGGUGAAAUGCGUAGAUAUCACGAAGAACUCCGAUUGCGAAGGCAGCUUACUGGACUGCAACUGACAGUGAGGCUCGAAAGCGUGGGGAUCAAACAGGAUUAGAUACCCGAGUAGUC
Molecule: ribosomal RNA, 460 nt
Filed under: uncultured bacterium
Lineage: Bacteria
Description: partial 16S ribosomal RNA
Rfam family: Bacterial small subunit ribosomal RNA
Source: RNAcentral